Lotus japonicus is the source of this 1144-nucleotide long non-coding RNA. RefSeq lists it as uncharacterized. The record is from RefSeq and is a predicted model, not a curated record. The transcript has 4 exons. Lineage: Eukaryota; Viridiplantae; Streptophyta; Magnoliopsida; Fabales; Fabaceae.
GUCCAAUUAUCUCAUAAUAUUAAAAGUUAAAACUCUCAUUUUCAGAAACCUUGGAAGCUACAAUGGUGGAAAUUUUCCUGAGGCCUUAAUUUCAAGGGCAUGAGUAGCUAGUGAACCCUAAACUUUAUACCUAACACAGUUGAGAGUGAAUUGGCGAAUGCUAUUUUACCUAUCUACUAACAAGGUAUGAAAGGUGAAAGAACAAUCCUGCUCUAUCAGAGGGAACCUUCAGAAAAUUAGAGCACUUAUUUUCUGUGCUUCAGCAUGCGGUGAAGACGCAAUUCUUUUGACAGGAUGGUCACUUGAAAAUUCGUAAUAGUGCAUUAAAGACCAAUUUUGAUGUGUUAACACUUAACAUUCUUGGUUUGUCUUUUAUGUUAAUGGUUUGAGUUGGAUACAGUCUUCCAUUUCUUCUAAUCAUUUCGCUGUUCGGAUCCCUUCUUGUUUCGUCACUACACCUUUGCAAGGCAAAAAGCUCUUGCUGUUUAUCCUUGACAGGGUUCAAAAGUGUCUUUUUUUUGUUUGUUUCUUUUUUCCCCAUUUGUUUUCUCUCAGUUGGGAUAUUAAUGUGUUGUUUUAUACUGUGCAAACCAUCUUGCAGAAAAGGAGAUUUGAGUUGUUAAAUUUGAAUGGUGCUACCGGAUUUGAGAUGUGGCCUCAUCAGAUUCGGACGGCUGAUUUAUUGUCACAAUAUAACUUAAGUGUGCGCCGAUGACAUGCUGGGGAGGUCGAUAGAGACUCACUCUUGGGUAGGAGCGUUGGGGAUCUCCCGAGGAGGGUUGCCGCCAAUUGAGAUUUUUCUGAACCCAUGAGGAUUUAAACCCUCAACCUAUGAGGAGGUGAGAGUUGAACUCGGAACCUGUGACCAGUUGUGCCAACCCAAGUUGUGGUCCAUACUCUCAAGGUUGAAUGGGGAUAUUUGUUUCAUAAAAUGCUUCUUGUUAAUAGUCUUUGGAACUCUGGCCUAUGUCAUAAAUAAGUGAGUUAGAGAGACUAUUGGGUAUCUUUGUAUUCACUUUAGAAUUAGGGUUUGGAGAGCAUUGAAUCUUUCUAGUUCUAGGGAGGGUAUUUGAAUCCUCUCCUUGUAUCUUUCUCCCAAUUUCUAUUUGGAAAUUAGGUUUUACCAUUCAAUAAUAUCAUAUUU